GAUGAACGCUGGCGGCGUGCCUAAUACAUGCAAGUCGAGCGGAUGAAAGAGGAGCUUGCUCCUCUAGAUUCAGCGGCGGACGGGUGAGUAACACGUGGGCAACCUGCCCUGUAGAUUGGGAUAACUCCGGGAAACCGGGGCUAAUACCGAAUAAUCCUUCGGACCUCAUGGUCCGAUGUUGAAAGACGGUUUCGGCUGUCACUACAGGAUGGGCCCGCGGCGCAUUAGCUAGGUGGUGAGGUAACGGCUCACCAAGGCCACGAUGCGUAGCCGACCUGAGAGGGUGAUCGGCCACACUGGGACUGAGACACGGCCCAGACUCCUACGGGAGGCAGCAGUAGGGAAUCUUCCACAAUGGACGAAAGUCUGAUGGAGCAACGCCGCGUGAGUGAAGAAGGUUCUCGGAUCGUAAAACUCUGUUGUGAGGGAAGAACAAGUACCGGAGUAACUGUCGGUGCCUUGACGGUACCUCAUUAGAAAGCCACGGCUAACUACGUGCCAGCCGCCGCAGUAA
RNAcentral lists this ribosomal RNA (514 nucleotides) under uncultured bacterium. RNAcentral's name for it is "partial 16S ribosomal RNA". It matches the Rfam family "Bacterial small subunit ribosomal RNA", at positions 28 to 523 of the family's 1533-position model. The record is from RNAcentral.